Schistocerca piceifrons (Central American locust) is the source of this 74-nucleotide non-coding RNA. Lineage: Eukaryota; Metazoa; Arthropoda; Insecta; Orthoptera; Acrididae. The record is from the annotation of a RefSeq genome assembly.
GUCCGGAUGGCUCAGUGGUUGACGCGACUGCCUAGUAAGCAGGAGGUCCUGGGUUCGAGUCCCAGUCCAGCACA